GUCAACCGUUCUCGCGCCAUUUCGUUUCGGCAAAGUUUUACAGAAAUUUUACUUUGGUUGAGUGUUAUCUACCUCGUUGUGAAAUUUAAUUGUGUCUAAAGCCCUGAAGAAGAAUAAUGAUCUCGAGAAUUAGGAUUUUACAAGCCAAGUUCUUUACAAAAUAACUAAUGUUACUGUCGCUUAAAAUACAGAAAAUGACGCAGUCGGGGCCUCAGGUGAAUAGUUUACACAUCUAAGCACAUAGAAAGCACACGUAUGAUUGUGCACGACACUCGCUUUAUAACUCAAGGAACACAUUGGUCUUGGUAGUUUAAGUAUCUUGAGAAGAUUUCUAAAAAAACCACUAGUGCACGACUGGUAAUGAAGCAAAUGAAGGCAAAUCAUCCCGAAGGAGAACUGGAGAGAUAGGAUCACCUAUAAAAAUGAUUGUAUCCUGAAUAAAGUAGACUUUGAGUCCCAUCUUAAUGCUACAAGCACAGAAUGGGAUAGAAGGGUGGCAACUCCUCUGAUUGUAAAAAGAUGAGGCAUGAUGGUGAUCAAGGAGAACCAUUGAGAAGCUCCUCCCCUCUAUCUUAGAGCCAUAAAACAGAAAUUUGGUGAUGCCCAAAUGAAUAAGAGGUGGUCUCAAAUAAGGCUCUACUUGAAUAAAAAAAUUGCUUGGAUUCCAAGAGAAAAGUUCAAAAUGUAGAGGGCAAUGUUGACAAGUCCGUAGACUGAAUGAACUAAGGCUUGGUUGAUAU
Molecule: non-coding RNA, 740 nt
Organism: Pocillopora verrucosa
Lineage: Eukaryota; Metazoa; Cnidaria; Anthozoa; Scleractinia; Pocilloporidae
Source: RefSeq, a predicted model, not a curated record